GAUGAACGCUGGCGGCGUGCCUAAUACAUGCAAGUCGAGCGAACAGACGAGGAGCUUGCUCCUCUGACGUUAGCGGCGGACGGGUGAGUAACACGUGGAUAACCUACCUAUAAGACUGGGAUAACUUCGGGAAACCGGAGCUCAUACCGGAUAAUAUAUUGAACCGCAUGGUUCAAUAGUGAAAGACGGUUUUGCUGUCACUUAUAGAUGGAUCCGCGCCGAAUUAGCUAGUUGGUAAGGUAACGGCUUACCAAGGCGACGAUGCGUAGCCGACCUGAGAGGGUGAUCGGCCACACUGGAACUGAGACACGGUCCAGACUCCUACGGGAGGAAGCAGUAGGGAAUCUUCCGCAAUGGGCGAAAGCUUGACGGAGCAACGCCGCGUGAGGGAUGAAGGUCUUCGGAUCGUAAAACUCUGUUAUUAGGGAAGAACAAAUGUGUAAGUAACUAUGCACGUCUUGACGGUACCUAAAGAAAAAGCCACGGCUAACUACGUG
Molecule: ribosomal RNA, 497 nt
Filed under: uncultured bacterium
Lineage: Bacteria
Description: partial 16S ribosomal RNA
Rfam family: Bacterial small subunit ribosomal RNA
Source: RNAcentral